GAUGAACGCUGGCGGCGUGCCUAAUACAUGCAAGUCGAGCGAACGGACGAGAAGCUUGCUUCUCUGAUGUUAGCGGCGGACGGGUGAGUAACACGUGGAUAACCUACCUAUAAGACUGGGAUAACUUCGGGAAACCGUAGCUAAUACCGGAUAAUAUUUUGAACCGCAUGGUUCAAAAGUGAAAGACGGUCUUGCUGUCACUUAUAGAUGGAUCCGCGCUGCAUUAGCUAGUUGGUAAGGUAACGGCUUACCAAGGCAACGAUGCAUAGCCGACCUGAGAGGGUGAUCGGCCACACUGGAACUGAGACACGGUCCAGACUCCUACGGGAGGCAGCAGUAGGGAAUCUUCCGCAAUGGGCGAAAGCCUGACGGAGCAACGCCGCGUGAGUGAUGAAGGUCUUCGGAUCGUAAAACUCUGUUAUUAGGGAAGAACAUAUGUGUAAGUAACUGUGCACAUCUUGACGGUACCUAUCAGAAAGCCACGGCUAACUACGUG
This 496-nucleotide ribosomal RNA is filed under the name uncultured bacterium. RNAcentral's name for it is "partial 16S ribosomal RNA". It matches the Rfam family "Bacterial small subunit ribosomal RNA", at positions 28 to 507 of the family's 1533-position model. The record is from RNAcentral.